RNAcentral lists this long non-coding RNA (1305 nucleotides) under Mus musculus (house mouse). RNAcentral describes it as "long non-coding RNA chr19:29144275-29145580". Lineage: Eukaryota; Metazoa; Chordata; Mammalia; Rodentia; Muridae. The record is from RNAcentral.
AUCCUGGACCGUGGUGGACUCCCCUGUGCUCGGUAGAUUCUACGUGUGAUGGGUCUACAGGAUCAGGAGCCACUGUUCUCCCUAUUGGAGGGCGUCUGGGUGGAAGUCAGGAUGGCUUUGCCUCACUGUCUUCCUCCAAACCUUUUCCUUUUCACUGAGAGAGCAGUGCUGUUUGCUGCUGACUGAGGAUGCAGAAGCCAGAGAUCUGACCUUGAGGGACACCUGGACAUGCUGGAUGCGGCCCUGAGCCCAGAGCUUUCCAUGUUAGUGUUCUGUCUGUACAUAGAUGGUUUAAAAUGAUGCUCACUCACCAUUCCAGAGCCAGUAGGUCUGAAGUGUGGCAGGUGUGGUUAGCAUCUCUGUCUGGCCUCUCAUAAGGUUGCUCUCAAGGUCUUAGCCCCUCAAGCUCUCAGGCUCUGGGAAAAUGAAAAUGCAGGUUUCGGUGUGUAGGACUGAGUUCUAUCUUUUUGCUGGCUAACAACAGCUUUGAUUGGUGGACUCUGCCAGCCUCCUUUUCAUUUGACUUCUCCCUCUUCAAGCUGUCAAGGCUGUGUCAAAUCCUUUACAUGUAAACUGACUCUGACUUCCUCUUGGGGUACCUGAUAGGACUUGAAGUAACUUGUGGUAUAGCACUCCCACUUAGGUACUCCUCCUGUCAUCAGGGUUAGCCAGUCAUAGUACUAUCUGAAUUAGUGUUUGAUUGGUCAUCUUAGAAUUCUGCCUAUCAUAAUUGAAGCCACUGCUGGUUGAAAUCAGAGCUCCCCAAACAGACCUAAGUGGCCACAUUGUCUUGAACCUGCCAGAUUUUCUCUGAUAGAGGAAGUUUUGGAAAUGGUGCUGUUGGUCAGCAUCGGGGAGCAUGUGGAAGCCUGAGCAGAGUGUCACAAGUAUUAGAGGGGACACGUGUGUCAGUCUGUAGGGUACACAAGUGUCGGGUAGGUUCCAGGCCUCUGCCCCAGCUGCUCCUGGAGUUGGAACAUUUGGGAGCAGUGGGGGGGAUUAUACUGAGCAGAAGGGAUGAGUUAUCCUCUUCGCACUUGGAUAGGAUGUUAGUAACUAGGCCAGACUUGUGAUUCUUCAGCUCCCUGAGUCCGACGAUCACAGGAAGGCAUCUCCACAAACGCAGUGUUUGCUCAAACAGCCUGUUCUUGAUCCCUUUGCAGUUUCCCAAAAGAAGCACUACCGCUAGGCAGGGGUCGUCUGCCAGCUUGCUGUCUGUUCUGUGCUUGACUCUGCUACUCACCAGGGCUCAUGUAAUAAGAGCUUAGUUCUGCGUUUGAGUUCUGUAUAAACAUCUGAUUUGGG